GGGGCAGUAGCUCAGUUGGUCAGAGCAGGAGACUCAUAACCUCCCACGCGUCGGUUCAAGUCCGACCUGCCCCA
RNAcentral lists this transfer RNA (74 nucleotides) under Nocardioides cavernaquae. It matches the Rfam family "tRNA". From Rfam's summary of the family: Transfer RNA (tRNA) molecules are approximately 80 nucleotides in length. Their secondary structure includes four short double-helical elements and three loops (D, anti-codon, and T loops). Further hydrogen bonds mediate the characteristic L-shaped molecular structure. tRNAs have two regions of fundamental functional importance: the anti-codon, which is responsible for specific mRNA codon recognition, and the 3' end, to which the tRNAs corresponding amino acid is attached (by aminoacyl-tRNA synthetases). tRNAs cope with the degeneracy of the genetic code in two manners: having more than one tRNA (with a specific anti-codon) for a particular amino acid; and 'wobble' base-pairing, i.e. permitting non-standard base-pairing at the 3rd anti-codon position. Lineage: Bacteria; Bacillati; Actinomycetota; Actinomycetes; Propionibacteriales; Nocardioidaceae. The record is from Rfam by way of RNAcentral.